RNAcentral lists this transfer RNA (75 nucleotides) under Anoplolepis gracilipes. RNAcentral's name for it is "tRNA-Asp". The record is from RNAcentral. Lineage: Eukaryota; Metazoa; Arthropoda; Insecta; Hymenoptera; Formicidae.
AAAGAAUUAGUUUAAUAUUAAAAACAUUAAAUUGUCAGUUUAAAAAUAUUUUUAUUUUUAUAAAAAUAUUCUUUU